UACGAACGCUGGCGGCGUGCCUAAUACAUGCAAGUCGAACGCUGAAGGAGGAGCUUGCUUCUCUGGAUGAGUUGCGAACGGGUGAGUAACGCGUAGGUAACCUGCCUGGUAGCGGGGGAUAACUAUUGAAAACGAUAGCUAAUACCGCAUAAUAGUAGAUGUUGCAUGACAUUUGCUUAAAAGGUGCAAUUGCAUCACUACCAGAUGGUCCUGCGUUGUAUUAGCUAGUUGGUGAGGUAACGGCUCACCAAGGCGACGAUACAUAGCCGACCUGAGAGGGUGAUAGGCCACACUGGGACUGAGACACGGCCCAGACGCCUACGGGAGGCAGCAGUAGGGAAUCUUCGGCAAUGGACGGAAGUCUGACCGAGCAACGCCGCGGGAGUGAAGAAGGGUGUCGGAUCGUAAAGAUCGGUUGUAAGAGAAGAACGAGUGUGAGAGUGGAAAGUUCACACUGUGACGGUACCUGACCAGAAAGGGACGGCUAACUACGUG
RNAcentral lists this ribosomal RNA (495 nucleotides) under uncultured bacterium. Its description in RNAcentral is "partial 16S ribosomal RNA". It matches the Rfam family "Bacterial small subunit ribosomal RNA", at positions 29 to 507 of the family's 1533-position model. The record is from RNAcentral.